This is a small nuclear RNA of Aotus nancymaae (Ma's night monkey), 107 nucleotides long. NCBI's taxonomy places the organism in Eukaryota, Metazoa, Chordata, Mammalia, Primates, Aotidae. The record is from Ensembl.
GUGCUCACUUCAGCAGCACAUAUACUAAAAUUGGAACAACACAGAGAAGAUUAGCAUGGUCCCUCUGCAAGAAUGACAUUCAAAUUUGUGAAGUGUUCCAUAUUUUU